RNAcentral lists this transfer RNA (87 nucleotides) under Aquirufa rosea. RNAcentral's name for it is "Cytophagaceae bacterium CAR-16 tRNA-Ala". It matches the Rfam family "tRNA". From Rfam's summary of the family: Transfer RNA (tRNA) molecules are approximately 80 nucleotides in length. The record is from RNAcentral. Lineage: Bacteria; Pseudomonadati; Bacteroidota; Cytophagia; Cytophagales; Flectobacillaceae.
GGGGGAUUAGCUCAGCUGGCUAGAGCACCUGCCUUGCACGCAGGGGGUCAACGAACUGGCCGUCCGCGUUCGAAUCCGUUUUCUCCA